This 491-nucleotide ribosomal RNA is filed under the name uncultured bacterium. RNAcentral's name for it is "partial 16S ribosomal RNA". It matches the Rfam family "Bacterial small subunit ribosomal RNA", at positions 28 to 507 of the family's 1533-position model. The record is from RNAcentral.
GAUGAACGCUGGCUACAGGCUUAACACAUGCAAGUCGAGGGGAGACGACGGGGAAGCUUGCUUCCCCGGGCGUCGACCGGCGCACGGGUGAGUAACGCGUAUCCAACCUGCCUCUGACUGAGGGAUAACCCGUCGAAAGUCGGCCUAAUACCUCAUGGUAUCGUCUGCGGGCAUCCAACGACGAUUAAAGAUUUCAUCGGUCAGGGAUGGGGAUGCGUCUGAUUAGCUUGUUGGCGGGGUAACGGCCCACCAAGGCUACGAUCAGUAGGGGUUCUGAGAGGAAGGUCCCCCACAUUGGAACUGAGACACGGUCCAAACUCCUACGGGAGGCAGCAGUGAGGAAUAUUGGUCAAUGGGCGAGAGCCUGAACCAGCCAAGUAGCGUGCAGGAAGACGGCCCUAUGGGUUGUAAACUGCUUUUAUGCGGGGAUAAAGUGAGGGACGGGUCCCUCAUUGCAGGUACCGCAUGAAUAAGGACCGGCUAAUUCCGUG